Molecule: RNA transcript, 1812 nt
Organism: Entelurus aequoreus (snake pipefish)
Lineage: Eukaryota; Metazoa; Chordata; Actinopteri; Syngnathiformes; Syngnathidae
Gene: atpaf1
Gene name: ATP synthase mitochondrial F1 complex assembly factor 1
Exons: 11
Source: RefSeq, a predicted model, not a curated record
GCAGUUCCUCCUCGGACUGUUCUAGAUGUCGGACAGUAGUGACGGGAAGAUGGCGGCAGCCUUGGUCCAGAUGACAUGUUUGUACCGAGGAAUGAUUGCCGUGAAGGCGGCUGGUAUCAGGCCACUCAUUCCUGGGCUGGUCCCGGCUCGGUUCCGGGCCUUCUCGGUGCGGAAAGAGGAAGAAGACUUGGAGAAGAAUCCUUACUACGGGAAGUACCAGGACAAGAUCAACAACAUCCGCAGUUCCAAGCCUGAGGAGAUGAAGGCACGGAUGGAAAAACGUCAAGAUGCAAAGAAGGAAGUGCUGGGACAUUCCAAGCAAGCAGAGUUUGUGAAGUUCAUGGAGCAGGAGUUGGAGAAGCGAAACAAGCUUGCAGCCGGCGAUGGAACAUCAGCCAGUUUCACCAAAAACAAGAUGCUGAGCUCCAUCCUCAACCUGGAGCUGAUCCAGGACAAGACGGGUGAGGAGAUUGCAGAGAUCUGGAAGAAAUAUUUUGCCACCAAGGACACAAUCAGCGCUGUCAUCUCAACUGAGACGUACAACGUUAUUCACACCCGCGCCACUUCUUGUCCCAUGUUCCUGUUUGCGUUGCCACAGAUGGAAGGUUACGAGUUCUUUGUGGGUCAGUGGUCCGGCCAUGAGCUCCAUUUCACCUCACUCAUCAACAUCCAGACGAUGGGUGAGCACGCUCCCAGUCAGCUGAUCCUCUACCACUACCCUGACUUGAAGGAGAAGGGUGUUGUGCUCAUGACAGCAGAAUUGGAUCCCAAGUUUAUUACUGUCCACCAAGCUCAGUGCUUGGCCAAUCAGGUGCAGCUCUUUUAUGGCACACAGAGGCAGGAGACGCACCGAUUGGUGGAGACGUUUAACCACCACCCUGCCGAUUUCAAACACAUGGCGGUCAUAGCCGAGCUAGAACAGAGCGGGCUCGGGUCUGCACUCGCGUCCGGCUCCAAAUAGAGAAGGACAAGGACUGAGCCGAGAUCAAGUACGGCAUCACCAACUACAGGUACUCAAAGCGCUUUGACACAAUUUCCACAUUCACCCACUGAUGGCGGGAGCUGCCAUGCAAGGCCCUAACCACGACCCAUCAGGAGCAAGGGUGAAGUGUCUUGCCCAAGGACACAACGGACGUGACGAGCGCCACGGCAGCAAAGUAGUGCGCCAGAGCUCGGAAGUGUUCGGACUUGACGUGAACCACGGACGCCCACGAAAACGGAACGUAGUCCUUCAUCAGCGGCUGCGACAUGGCCUGCUGCACGGACAGGUAGCGGUCCGACACCUGCGGGCGCAAAUUGCAAAGUGGUUCCGGUCGUCGUUCCGGUGGAGACUUGUCACCCGAGGGCUCACCUGUGCCGCCUCCUGUGCCAAACACAGCAGGGGAAGGAAGUGCGCGUCCUGCGUGGUGAGCACAGUGCGCUCAAACACGCACUCCUGCAGCUGGGCCACCAUCAGCCGGACCAGCAUGCAGAGCGACGGUCCGCUCAUGUCAAGACUCGGCGCGUUGGAGAAGUUCUCUUUCAGGUAAUGAAAAGUACCUGAACACAUGAAUACAGAGUACAGUAUAGUCCAGGGGUGGGCAAUUAAUUUUUACCGGGGGCCGCAUGAGCUACCCGAGCACUGCUGGAGGGCCACAACGACAAUAUUUCAAUUAAAUUUUGCUCAAUAUUAUUUUUGAUAUAUACCGUAAGAUAAAUAAUAAUAAUAAUAAUAGUAAUACUUCAACAUAGUGUGUGUAACAGCAUUCCAUGACUAAUAUAAAUAAAUUAACAUUAAUAAUAAAUGACAGUAAAAUAAGCACACGUAUGACU